RNAcentral lists this ribosomal RNA (492 nucleotides) under uncultured bacterium. RNAcentral's name for it is "partial 16S ribosomal RNA". It matches the Rfam family "Bacterial small subunit ribosomal RNA", at positions 29 to 507 of the family's 1533-position model. The record is from RNAcentral.
AGUGAACGCUGGCGGUAGGCCUAACACAUGCAAGUCGAACGGCAGCACAGUAAGAGCUUGCUCUUACGGGUGGCGAGUGGCGGACGGGUGAGGAAUACAUCGGAAUCUACUUUUUCGUGGGGGAUAACGUAGGGAAACUUACGCUAAUAACGCAUACGACCUACGGGUGAAAGCAGGGGAUCUUCGGACCUUGCGCGAUUGAAUGAGCCGAUGUCGGAUUAGCUAGUUGGCGGGGUAAAGGCCCACCAAGGCGACGAUCCGUAGCUGGUCUGAGAGGAUGAUCAGCCACACUGGAACUGAGACACGGUCCAGACUCCUACGGGAAGCAGCAGUGGAGAAUAUUGGACAAUGGGCGCAAGCCUGAUCCAGCCAUACCGCGUGGGUGAAGAAGGCCUUCUGGUUGUAAAGCCCUUUUGUUGGGAAAGAAAAGCAGCAGGUUAAUACCCCGCUGUUCUGACGGUACCCAAAGAAUAAGCACCGGCUAACUUCGUG